Long non-coding RNA from Nerophis ophidion (straightnose pipefish), 545 nucleotides. RefSeq lists it as uncharacterized. The record is from RefSeq and is a predicted model, not a curated record. The transcript has 4 exons. NCBI's taxonomy places the organism in Eukaryota, Metazoa, Chordata, Actinopteri, Syngnathiformes, Syngnathidae.
CUCAGAUUCCCGUGACAGGCUGUGACGGGCUGUCACCUCGAGGCCACGCUGAUUGAUGAGGGCUCGUUGCGCCCGCCUGCAGCUGGAUGGCGUGGUGAAGCCGUGCGUGACAAGCGUAAGGGUCACGGCGGCGGGGAGGUCUCCACCUGUGCUGAUUGGCUGCUGCUCCUCACCUUCCUGCAUUCCUUCCUCACGUCGCUGUCAGCCUGAAAAUGGAGACGUUUGACGUCCAAGCACGAGUGCCAUUGAUGCCUUCCUGCCUCCGAUGGAGAGAUUGUGUUAUCAGAGGGGCCCCGGAGCCGGCCCCCUGUCGCUGAUGGACCGAUAAGAACCUCCACAACUUCCACGGCGCAUGACACAAGAAACUAGGACAGUAUUGAUGGUCAAAGUUGCAUGAGAUGUAAGGGAUGACAUCAUAUGUGUAAGUGGGACAGUAUUGACUGUCAAAGUUGCAUGAGAUGUGAGGGAUGACAUCAUAUGUGUAAGUGGGACAGUAUUGACUGUCAAAGUUUACAUUGUUCACAUUAAAUAAUGAUAUUUCCAAA